Molecule: ribosomal RNA, 252 nt
Filed under: uncultured bacterium
Lineage: Bacteria
Description: partial 16S ribosomal RNA
Rfam family: Bacterial small subunit ribosomal RNA
Source: RNAcentral
UACGAGGGGGCAAGCGUUGUUCGGAAUUAUUGGGCGUAAGGCGUAUGUAGGCGGCCGAGUAAGUCAGGUGUGUAAGCCCGUGGCCCAACCACGGAAUUGCAUUUGAAACUGCUUGGCUUGAGUACAGGAGAGGAAAGCGGAAUUCCCAGUGUAGUGGUGAAAUGCAUUGAUAUUGGGAAGAACAUCUGUGGCGAAGGCGGCUUUCUGGUCUGUUACUGACGCUGAGAUACGAAAGCCAGGGGAGCGAACGGG